RNAcentral lists this ribosomal RNA (245 nucleotides) under uncultured bacterium. Its description in RNAcentral is "partial 16S ribosomal RNA". It matches the Rfam family "Bacterial small subunit ribosomal RNA", at positions 15 to 251 of the family's 1533-position model. The record is from RNAcentral.
GAUCCUGGCUCAGGAUGAACGCUAGCUACAGGCUUAACACAUGCAAGUCGAGGGGGCAGCAUGAACUUAGCUUGCUAAGUUUGAUGGCGACCGGCGCACGGGUGAGUAACACGUAUCCAACCUGCCGAUGACUCGGGGAUAGCCUUUCGAAAGAAAGAUUAAUACCCGAUGGCGAUAGUUCGUUCCGCAUGGUGGAACUAUUAAAGAAUUUCGGUCAUCGAUGGGGAUGCGUUCCAUUAGGGUUG